This 431-nucleotide ribosomal RNA is filed under the name Hyalomma marginatum. Its description in RNAcentral is "partial large subunit ribosomal RNA". Lineage: Eukaryota; Metazoa; Arthropoda; Arachnida; Ixodida; Ixodidae. The record is from RNAcentral.
UUUUUUAAAUUGCUGUGGUAUUUUGACUAUACAAAGGUAUUGUAAUAAGAUUUUAAUUGAAUGCUAAAAGAAUGGAAAUUUAAAAAAAAACUUUUUUAAAAAUAAAAAUUGAAUUUUUUUUAAUUUGUGCAAAAACAAUUAUACUUAUUAAAGACAAGAAGACCCUAAGAAUUUAAGAUUUUACAAUUAAAAAGUUUUUUUUUUAAAAUCUUGAUUGGGGCGAUCAAAAAAUAUUAAUAACUUUUUAAAAUUUAAAUUGAUCUAUUAUUAAUAAACUAAUGAAUUAAAUACUCUAGGGAUAACAGCGUAAUAAUUUUUGAUAGAUCUUAUUGACAAAAUAGUUUGCGACCUCGAUGUUGGAUUAGGAUUCUUUUUUAAUGAAGAAGUUAAAAAAAGAAGUUUGUUCAACUUUUAAAUUCCUACUUGAUCUG